RNAcentral lists this ribosomal RNA (232 nucleotides) under uncultured bacterium. RNAcentral's name for it is "partial 16S ribosomal RNA". It matches the Rfam family "Bacterial small subunit ribosomal RNA", at positions 118 to 350 of the family's 1533-position model. The record is from RNAcentral.
UGGGCAACCUGCCCCUCUCUCUGGGAUAACCCCGGGAAACCGGAGCUAAUACCGGAUACUCCGGCUGGAUCGCAUGGUCCGGCUGGGAAAGGUCCGCCGGAGAGGGAUGGUCCCGCGGCCUAUCAGCUAGUUGGUGGGGUGAUGGCCCACCAAGGCGUCGACGGGUAGCCGGCCUGAGAGGGCGACCGGCCACACUGGGACUGAGACACGGCCCAGACUCCUACGGGAGGCA